RNAcentral lists this ribosomal RNA (343 nucleotides) under uncultured Bacillota bacterium. Its description in RNAcentral is "bacterial SSU rRNA". It matches the Rfam family "Bacterial small subunit ribosomal RNA", at positions 28 to 351 of the family's 1533-position model. Lineage: Bacteria; Bacillati; Bacillota. The record is from RNAcentral.
GAUGAACGCUGGCGGCGUGCUUAACACAUGCAAGUCGAACGAAGCAUGACGGACCUAGUUUUUCGGAACGAAGAAAAUCAUGACUUAGUGGCGGACGGGUGAGUAACGCGUGGGUAACCUGCCUUAUACAGGGGGAUAACAGUUAGAAAUGACUGCUAAUACCGCAUAAGCACACAGUAUCGCAUGAUACGGUGUGAAAAACCCUGGUGGUAUAAGAUGGGCCCGCGUCUGAUUAGCUAGUUGGUAGGGUAAUGGCCUACCAAGGCGACGAUCAGUAGCCGGCUUGAGAGAGUGGACGGCCACAUUGGGACUGAGACACGGCCCAAACUCCUACGGGUGGCUG